UAAAUGGAAGUCCAAGAUCUAGCAGU
This 26-nucleotide non-coding RNA is filed under the name Mus musculus (house mouse). Lineage: Eukaryota; Metazoa; Chordata; Mammalia; Rodentia; Muridae. The record is from RNAcentral.